RNAcentral lists this long non-coding RNA (1229 nucleotides) under Vulpes vulpes (red fox). RNAcentral's name for it is "lncRNA (ENSVVUG00000000055.1)". Lineage: Eukaryota; Metazoa; Chordata; Mammalia; Carnivora; Canidae. The record is from RNAcentral.
GAGGGAGGCAGAGACACAGGCAGAGGGAGAAGCAGGCUCCCUGCAGGGACCUUGAUGCGGGACUCGAUCCCAGGACCCCGGAAUCACACCCAGAGCCCAAGGCAGAUGCUCAACCGCUGAGCCCCCGGGUGCCCCACUCACAGAGUCCUUUAAGGGGAUCUUUCUGAUAAUCUGGCUUCCACCCCCCAUUUUACCUAGAAGCAAGCUCUACAAGGUCAGAAAGGGCCCAGGAAGACCAAAUGGCAGAUGGGCUCCACGCAACCAGCGCAUCCCCGGGAGGGGCUCCCAACAGGCUUUGCCAGGCCCUGCCUCAGAGAAGACACAAGUUCAGCUCUCUCUGAAUCUGGUAAAGGGCCCCAUGGCCUCGGCACAGCCCCCUGAAGAAUGGCGCAGCUGUCCCAUGUGAGCAGUAAAUCACACAGAACCUGCAUGCACAGUCGGUUGCUGGGAUCCAAGGAGCUUGGCUGGGUCACCAGCAGGAUCACUGGAGUCACCACUGUGGGCCCGCCUUGUUCCAGGUGAUUCCAGGCACUGGUCACUUAAGCCACGCAACAACAACAGAAACGAGGGCACUGAGAAGUUAAAUCACCCCCAAAAUGUUCACCUGGAAAGUGUCGGGAGGGUUUCCAACCAGACCUCCACUCUAGACUGUCAUCAGCCUCUGGCAACUCAGCAAGUCUCAGGACCAUGUAGAGCAUGACCCUUUGGUAAAAGAAAACAGACCUAUUUAUUUGUGUGUACAUGUGCGUGGGGAGAAGAUAACCAAACAGUACUGUCUUAUACAAAAGAAUACGUGUGUGUUUACAAAAUUCUAUUUAAAUGAAGUUCUAUAACAGGCGAAAAUAAUCUAAUAUAUGGUAAGAAGAUAUCAGAACAAUGGUUGCCUGAAAAGGAAGGUAGGUGCUUUGUGGGUUUGAUAUUUGUGUUUGGUUUCUUACUUUUGUCCAAACCAUCAAUGCACUUAAAAAUUGCGUAUUUCAUUGGAAAUAGAUUUCUUAACAGACNACAAAAAAAAUGUAAACAAAUAUUAAACUCUAGUUCAUGAGCGCCUGGGUGGCUCAGUAGUUGAGUGUCUGCCUUCAGCUCAGGUUGUGAUCCCGGGGUCCUGGGAUCGAGUCCUCCACAUCAGACUCUCCACAGGGAGCCUGCUUCUUCCUCUGCCUGUGUUUCUGCCUCUCUCUGUGUGUCUCAUGAAUAAAUAAAUAAUCUUUAAAAAUUUUUUAAAAAUA